CUGAUAAACAUUGUGGAAUAUAUGGAAAUACCAUUUGUCAUAAUCCAUAUACAAUAUACUCUUAUCAAUGUAGUUGUCAGGACCAAAUUUUUAGAGGUUAUAAAGUGUAUCGCAUGUGACAAAGUUGCUCGCGGUUUUUUUAUAUUACCAAACGCAUGCGCAUUAAAUUAAUGUGCCAGGUAAAUUUUGAAAUUUGUAUAGAUUAAUACAUUUAAAGAGCAUGAUACAGGGUUCAUAUCUGUAAAGACCUUAGACCAAACAGUAAUCAGAAACUGGAAGUUAAGAUCUAGUAAACAGACGCAAUAUAUAAAUAAAGCCUGUUUUGCUCGUUGAAUAAUUCACACGGCCAAGAUGCUGCUAAAUUUCAGGUUAUGCUUGCGUACGUUCGCACCAUAACAGUACUACCAACAGUAAGUGUGUCAAGUAUAAGUCGCGGUCAAGAAUACCGCUUUAAUUAAGAAAGCCCGAGGGGUAGCGGGAAUAUGCCGAUACCCACCGGUUACAGCCUUCGAACGUGUUGUAAAUACAUUUUAGAGGUCCCGAUGUUUCGGGUGUAUCGACAGCAAACUGCUGGCAAGGUAGAGUGGAAGGGAUCGGGUCGCCAACGACCCAAACCGACAACGAUGUUACUCGAUGUCAUUGGCCUUUGUGACUCGUAUGUUAAUCCGUCUUAUGUUCACGUGUCCCGAGCAAUUGGCUCCUAUUGCUUGACACGGCUUGGCAAGUUCCUAUUUAGUAGCCGAAUCCUCGAAAUCGGUCCCUGCUUUAGCUUCCGUUUCCCAGAAACCUGCCACUCUUUGAAACCCAACACACCAGUUGACCUUCGAAGAAUUCCACGAAGUGUUCGAGGAAACAAAGGGCCCCUGGUGCGGUCACCGUCGUUCGGGCUCCAUCAUUCGUGCGGUGCGUGUCACGGGGAUCGUGCGUGGCUCUGCUCGUCCGUUAUAUUCUCACUUAGAAUAAUUCAGUGACUAACGCGCGUCCCACGAGGAACGUUCUUGUGUCGUCUAUCCUCUGUUUAAAAUCUGCAUACGCGUUCAACGAUCAUGAGACUUUUUCUUGUUACGAGACCGGUAAAUUAGAUCGCGAGGAGAUCCAGGAUGCACAACGCGGAAGGAAAACGGGAUACGGAAGACGGGAAAAGCGUAUUCAACUAGGUCUGGACUAAUGCAAAUAUGUAGCGUUGAUAUCAAAUUGCACCAGUCCCGGCCUGAUUGAGUACGCGUGAAACAACGGAAGAAGAAUCGAAGGUGUGGUCGUUCGUCUUGGUUAAUUUCAUCUGCUUCCCAUGGGAAAUACAAUGUGUUAUAUAUACUCAGUACAUUAAUCUAGAUUAUUGUAUCGAUGAUCAAAGAGCAAUUAUACAGCUUUCUUUUUGUUUAUUAGAACGAUUCUGUUUAAAUAUUAUAAAAAAGGUAGUACAGUCAUUUCUUGAUCACCCAAUACAAUUGUUUGAUUUUAAACACUCUUGUGUAACACUUCAUUCAUUCCUUACUCCUGCCAAGCUUUUGUAAUCCAUAUUGUAUAACUUACUAGGAAUCGUAGCGAUGUAUGCAAACGAAUAAAAACUGUCCGCUAUAAUUGCGAGAAGAUUGCCUAUACUUAUUAGUCAUUGAUGCGCGAAAAGACUUUAGAAGAUUGUGUAACGCUAUUACGUCCCGCUAUUGUACGCUUGUUAUAAUACUAUAAAACUGGAUUCGGUUGCCUGGAUACUGGUUCUUUCCCCAUUCAGGUUGUGCCGAGCCCCUUUGUGCACGGUAAACAAAGAAAAAUUUGAUCCCGCCGAUAGAGGCGGCAGAGCCAAAGCGCAUGCGCAGCGAUUGUUGAACGUGCAUCAUUCGCGGAACAACGUAUUUAUCUGGCCAGGUGUUGGUAGAUUAGGAAUGUUUUUCGCUCGAGUUAACGUGCGUGAAAUUGAACGCUCGUGCACGCAUGCUUUCGUUUUACCGUGCAUCGAUCUCACGGCAAUGAAAUUGAUUAUGAAAUAAUAUAGGAAAAGUGAGCGAGAUGCUCUCAACGUCAAUUGUACCCGGGUGUUUCUGCCUCUAAGCGGUCGCAAUUAUGUUAAUUGAGUCACCAUUAAUAGUCGUAACAGAGGAUAAUUGACACAUUUAACGAUGAAUUUUCGGAGAUUCUUACGAUCCUAAAACCGAAACCGAAAAUUUCACGAAAGUUAUACAAAGCACUCGUGAAGGAACUUAAUGAUAAUAUGACUUCUGAUUUGGAUGAUAUAUUCAACGAUGGUAGUGUACAGG
This is a non-coding RNA of Osmia lignaria (orchard mason bee), 2255 nucleotides long. The record is from RefSeq and is a predicted model, not a curated record. Lineage: Eukaryota; Metazoa; Arthropoda; Insecta; Hymenoptera; Megachilidae.